AGAGGCCCUCUACUCAGACCUAGAACUUCCCGGAGCCCCUAUAGUGCUCUCCUGCCUGUUAUGCUUCAGCUGCUUAGCCUCGUUAUUGGACGCCUGGUAGGCGCUGGCUAUGACUUGGACUGGCAUAGCCCGCAUCAGCGAAAGAUUGCCGGCUAAAGUGUUAAUCAUGGCAUUUUCAUCAGUCUUGAUCGCCACAUACUCAAAGCCUGAAUCCCUUGCUUUUAUCAACGCAGCGAAGUUCUGUGGAAUAACCAACACCUGACCCUGCUGGACUUCCUCAUUGGCCACUGUCUGGCCCUGCUGUUGCACUACUUGAAUCCUGGCACUGCCUCUUAUAGCGUAGAUUACACUAUUGGCAUUCACGUUGUAGUAUGGUAGCACCAAUGCGCCCUACACAUUUAGGCACCAAUAUUUAAGAUGAAUCCCUUCUAAUUUUCAGAUUUAUCACAAUUUCAUUUUGCAUGUCCCUUAUUCAGUAUCGUACCUGAUAUAGACGUCCUUUAUGAGCACUUAAUUUAACAAGCUUUUGGAGAACUGGAAGAUCAUAGCCGGUGACGCUGCUCCUGUGUCCACCUCUAGGUGUGUAGACAUCUGCUCUCCAUGGAUCACCGAUGUUUUGUUUGAGCCUCAAGCUGCAUAUGGUCUCUUCAUAGCCAUUUCCGCGUGCAUGGAGGUGAUCUUGCUGUUGCUCUCCUCGCUCCUGUUGUCCCCUUGGUGGUAACAGUGCCUGUAGGCCUCCCUCCACUCUCACUAUGUUGCCCCUCCUGUCAUUUUGGCCCUGAAGCUUCCUUAUGAGCUGGACAUCCACGUUAAAUGCCUCAGCCAACUGCUGUGCAUCGAAACCACUGAAGAUGUUGUCGCCGGAACUCUCUUGCCCUCUGCCCUCACUGCCGCCCCCUUCUUGCUGUUGCUGCUGGCCCUCGCUUCCUUGUUGUUGUUCUUGUUGUUGUUGCUGUUGCUGCUGAAAUUCAUUUUGUGGGUUGCCGGCAAGAUAGAAUCUCUACAAUGGGCAUAAUUAAAUCCUUCAGUUCGUAUUCUGAUCAUUCAUGUGUUUUGAUAUAGCUUUGUGCUAGUAUUACUCUACUUACUCUGGGUUGGAAAUCAAGUUGGUUGGCCUCAUUGCUGACGUCGAGGACAGAAACUACAACAAGCUGUCUGUUACCAUUGUUAUAGAUAUAAUGCCCAAAUCCGGUGGGCACUGCAAAAGCAUCACCCUCUUCGACCUCUCGGAUCUUCUGAUGUUGGUCUCCAAGGAAUUGCUGGCCUUGUUGUCCUUGCUGGCCUUGUUGUCCCUGUUGUCCUUGCUGCCCUUCCUGUUCUCUUCCUUGUUGCCCUUCCUGAGAUUCCUGGAAUGAUUGGAAGGUUUCAGGACAACCACUGAUCAGGAUUCCCUGCAAGCCUCUACCUGUAGAUAACACCCCAUUUCAAAUAAUUUACAUUUCAUCAAAGGAGCACACAAGCUAAGUUUUCCGAUAUAGCUUAAGAUUAUUACGUUACUAGUUAAGUGCUUUACCUUGGACGAAGUACAAGAGUUGAGGCGCAUUGACGUAGGAAGGCAAAAGCAAGCCGUUGGGUUCAAUAGUAUAGCGAACAACAGCCACACCCGCGCACUGGAAUUGCUCAUUGUUAUGAUCAAAGACCUCGGUCACACCGGCCUCUGACUGGAUCCGGUUGGAAGGUUUCUGAGCAGUGAGUCUAGAGAUGCUGCACUCAUUUUGCUGCCUAGACUUUUGCUGCCGAGCCGAGCAGUAAUUGAAGAGAAUAAGAAAGCAAAGCAAAAAGCAACAAAGACUCUUAGCCAUGGUAACACUGCAGAUAAGACUACUAAGCUGUUGUGGAGAAGCGGCGACUGGGAAUGGUGAGUAUAAAUAGUAGAGAAAGUGGGUUUAGAGCUUGACACGUAGGUGAUAGUUGGAAAAGCAAGCUUGAGACACUUCAAUUUGCAUGGCUCCUACACCCUUUUUGCUUACACCUAAUCCAUUCAAACAGAGCAUGCAGGUGGGCCUUUUGCUUUUACAGAAGGAUACAAAGAGAGAUUCGUUUACAUAUGAGGCCAUUUUGGAGGUUUUUGCAUGUAGUCAGUCAGUUGAUUUGGAGUUUAUUAUCAUCACCAUCUACUCUACCAGACAGCAUUUAUGAUGCUGCAGAGAUCAGGUGUAUGAGGAUAAGAUUGAUGAAGUGUGUAUGUUUCAUCCAUUAGUUUUGUGGGGUACUCUAUGGGAAUAUAUAUGGGCCAACAUUCAUGCUCAUGAACUUCCAACUUUUCUUUUCCAUCUAUUGGACCAUAUAUUAAAUCCUUUCAUCUGACCACAACAUUUCUUUGUAAAUUCUUAUCCCAUCUUGUCUUAUUUAUUUAUUUUAAUUAUUAAUUUAUAUAUAUAUAUAUAUAUAUAUAUAUAUAUAUGUUGCAUAAGCCAAUAUAUACCUUGAUGCAAUUAGUAAUUUCCUCCCAACAACGGUUUCUUUAUCCAUAUUUUAAUGAAAAAAGAAUAAGUUAUUUGACAAUAUUUGUGUAUAAUUUAGGAUUGAUGUUACUUAAAAAAAGUUUAUAGUUGAAUUAAAACAUAAAUGAAGGUAUAUCAAUAGUUUUUAUAAUUUACCCAAAUAUAUGUAAACUUGUAAAUAAAUUCGAUUUCAAUGGAAAUUUCUAUUUUCCACUUUCUUUUUCCUAUCUCUUUAAUGAGUAUAUCAAAACUAACUUUUUCUAAGCCCUACUAGAGAGGUAAAAAUGAUUUAAAAUCUAUAUUUUUCAAAAUUCUUAUAUAAGAAAUAAAAGGCCAUAUAUAUAUAUAUAUAUUAGAAAAAAGUGACCAAGAAAAUAAAUGAAAAAUACUAAAAAAAAUUACCUUCUCAGUUUCCUUAAAUAAAUGUGAAAAAUGUAGAAAAAAUGCAUUCUUUGAUAAUUUAUUUUUUUUUUCUCCUUGAUUUUUAAUGAAAAAUCAAAUAACAAAAAAAAUUAUAAUUUUUUUCUUUUAUUUUCUUUUUCCUAAAUCUUGAAGGAAACAAAUAUAGCCUUAAAACUUUUUAAAUUCUAAACUAUAGCUUGAUAUCCUUACAUUUACUUAAGAAUGAAUAUAUCAGUAAUCAUGAAUAUAUCGGUGCUUCGAAUUUACGAAUAUAUCAGAUAUAUAUCGAUGGGUAUUUUGACACAAAAUAUUGGUGACAUAAAAAUUAAUGAAAAUUCUAAAAAUCUUAAGAAAAACUCUAAAAAAAAUAUAUAAGAAGUAAUAAUAGAUAUUUUAAAGUUUUUUAUUAUAAAUAUAUAUAUAUAUAUUUGAUAAUAAUAUCCACUACGAGUGAAUAAAAAAAUAUAAUUUUAUAAGUGUACAUUUAUUAUUAAUUUGCAUUAUAUAUUAUUUUACAAUAAUAUUAUAAUAAAAUAUCUAAUUUUAAAAUAUAUUUAAUAUUAAAAUUAUGAUCCAUUUUAAUUUAAAAUAUUCAAUGAUAUCAAAUCAAUUAUAAUUUUUAUAUAUUUAUAUUUAUGUUUUUUAUAUUUAAUAAAUAUAUAAAUUAUAUAAAAGACCUACUAAGAAAAUUAUGUUUUUACAUUUUUGGUAAUAAAUUAAAUCAAAUGUAAAAAUAAAAUAAUUAUAAUUAAUUAAUUUAAUAUUUUUUUUUGAAAAAUCGAUGAAAUAUUGGUGAAAUAUUGGUAAAAUAUAUGAAAAUAUCAGUGAAAUAUCUAUUGAAACACGAAAAAUAAAAAAAAAUCGGUGAAAUAUUAGUAAAAUAUCUAAAAAUAUUGAUUGAUGGAAAUAUCUUUCCUAAUUUCAUAUCAAGAUCCAUGUAUAUUGAAUAUAUUGUGGAUAAAUUGACGAUAUAUCCAGAUAUUUUAAACCUUUCAUAUACUAUGACUAUUCAUCCACAAUUCUCAUUUAUGCGAAACGCAUUACGGAUUAUGCCUUUGUUCAAAUUCCUUACCUGUGAAAAUUUAAAUAUCGAUGAAAAUUUAAUGUGAAUGUCAGAAAGCCUUCUUAUCUUAUCUUGAUUCACGCAGUCAUCUAAGGGGGUUCAAUGAUUUUUCUUUUUUCAUCUUUUUUAGUUUUGUUAAUCAAUUCACAAUAUCCAUGAUAAUAUGAAUAAAUUAAAAUCUAACCACACCAUGCUAUACGUAGAAAAUCACCUACAAAAAUUCACAAAAACCCCCAUACAUAUAAAUAUUAAAAAAAUAACACAAUUGUAUUUGAAACCAGAUGCUACCUUCUCCAAUGGAACUCGCACUGACCAAGUCUAACAUUACUGACAGACAUAAUUAGGUUUUAAAACUUCAAAUCUUAAAUCUCACCAUGAGCAAUGUUGUAAGGGUGGAAAUGGUUCCUACUAAAAUUAAUGCUGUGGUUUGUUCUCCCUCCCUCAAAGUCUUUGUUGGAAAUUAAACUUAAUUUAAGAAAAUUUUAAAAACUAGAAUUAGAUUUAGUUUAAUUUAAAGAAAAUAUUUUAUUUUGACCGGUUAAUUUAGUUUUUAUAUUUAAGUAGUUAAAGUUUUCAUACUUUAAUAAUUAGAAGUUUUUAUAUUUUUAUUAUUAGAAGUAUUUAUUUAUACGAGAGUAUCUAUAAAUAAGAGAUUAUGUAAUACUUAAAUAAAAGUAAUUCUUAAUUCUUCUUAAUUAUUUAAAUUUCUUGAUGUAAUUAUUUGUAUGUUUCUUUCGGCACCCAUUACCCCAACAAACUUGUAUCAAAAUUGGGGAAAAAAGAUGAAAAAUGGGAUGUAUUUGUUUUAAGUCCCUAAACUCUAUAACGACAAUUAUGAUAAUCGGAGUAUCGAGAUGAAAGCUGUUUAGUUCAUAAAAUGCAUUAUAGUUUACAGAGAAAGAUUAUAAAAAGUUAGCAAAAUAAAAUCACUUGAUUCAAAAUCGAAAGGAUUUUUUAAAAGAUGUGAGGAAGAAAGACCAAAAAACUCAUAUCAUGGUCUAUCAAGAAAUAAUAAAACUACCUUUGAAAAGAUUUCAAGUGCAACUACCUUCCAAAAUUCUCUAAUUUUUACAAUAAUAUUUAUCUUCCUCUUGGUAAACGUUUUCAAUAUUUGCAUUUUUCUUUCAACUCUAUCACUCUCAAUUCUCUACCUAGGAAUUAGCCAAGAGCAUUUUCCAGUGAUUUUGGAUAAAUAUUACUGCAGAAGUAUUAUUAGUGUCAUUCUUAUUAAAGAGCAAAACCUCAACUCUCAUUGUACAUCAUGUGGUACAAAAAAAGCCAAGCAUUAUGACCUCUUAUUAUUCUCCGAUACCAAUGCAACAACCAAACCAAACAAACAUGAUGCAUUAAGCAGAAGCCCUAUACUCUGACCUAGAACUUCCCGGAGGUGCUAUAGUGCUCUCCUGCCUGUUAUGCUUCAGUUGCCUAGCCUGGUUAUUGGACACCUGGUAGGCGCUGGAUAUGACUUGCAAUGGCAUGGCCCGCAGAAGAGAAAGAUUGCCUGCUAGAGUGUUAAUCAUGGCAUUUUCAUGAGUCUUGAUUGCCACAUACUCAAAGCCUGAAUCCCUUGCUUUUAUCAACGCGGCGAAGUUCUGUGGAAUAAUCAACACCUGACCUUGCUGGACUUCCUCAUUGAACACGUUCUGGCCCUGCUGUUGGACUACCUGAAUCCUGGCACGGCCUCUUAUAGCGUAGAGUAUACUGUGGGCAUUCACGUUGUAGUAUGGUAGCACCAUUGCGCCCUACACAUUUAGGCACCGAUAUUUAAGAUGAAUCCUUUCUAAUUUUCUAAUUCGUCACCCGAUAUAAUUUUGUCCCUUAUUUAGAAAAGCAUACCUGAUGAAGACGUCCCUGAUGAGCACUUAAUCUAACAACCUUUCUGAGAAUUGGAAGAUCAUAGCCGGUGACGCUGCUCCUGUGUCCACCUCUAGGUGUGUAGACAUCUGCUCUCCAUGGAUCACCGAUGUUUUGUUUGAGCCUCAAGCUGCAUAUGGUCUCUUCAUAGCCAUUUCCGCGUGCAUGGAAGUGAUCUUGCUGUUGCUCUCCUCGCUCCUGUUGUCCCCUUGGUGGCAACACUGCCUGUAGGCCUCCCUCCACUCUCACUAUGUUGCCCCUCCUGUCAUUUUGGCCCUGAAGCUUCCUUAUGAGCUGGACAUCCACGUUAAAUGCCUCAGCCAACUGCUGUGCAUCGAAACCACUGAAGAUGUUGUCCCCGGAACUCUCUUGCCCUCUACCCUCACUGCCGCCCCCUUCUUGCUGUUGCUGCUGGCCCUCACUUCCUUGUUGUUGUUGCUGCUGUUGCUGGAAUUCAUUUUGUGGGUUGCCUGCAAGAUAGAACCUCUACAAUACACAUAAUUAGUUCCAUCAGUGAGUAUUCUGAUCAUUCACAUGUGUUUUGAUAUUACUUUGUGUUAGUAUUACUCUAGGUACAUACUCUAGGCUGGAAAUCAAGCUGGUUGGCGUCAUUGCUGGUGUCGAGGACAGAAACUACAAUAAGCUGUCUGUCACCGUUGUUGUAGAUAAAAUGCCCAGUUCCGACGGGCACUGCAAAAACAUCACCCUCUUCGACCUCUCGGAUCUUCUGAUGUUGGUCUCCACGGAAUUGCUGGCCUUGUUGUCCUUGCUGGCCUUGUUGUCCCUGCUGUCCUUGCUGGCCUUGUUCUCCUUGUUGUCCUUGUUGUCCUUGUUCUUGUUGUUCUUGACCUUGCUGAGAUUCUUGGAAUGACUGGAAAGUUUCGGGACAACCAGUGAUCAUGAUUCCCUGUAAACCUCUACCUGUAUGAUAACACCCCCAUUCCAAAUAAAUGAUUCCACAUCAAAACAAAGUAGCACCCUAGAUAAGUUCUCCGAAAUAACUUAACAAUUACUAUGUUGCUAGUUAAGGGCUUUACCUUGGACGAAGUACAUGAGUUGAGGCGCGUUGACGUAGGAAGGCAAAAGCAAGCCUCUGGGUUCAAUAGUAUAGCGAACAACAGCCACACCCGCGCACUGGAAUUGCUCAUUGUUAUGAUCAAAGACCUCGGUUACACCGGCUUCUGACUGGAUGCGGUUGGACGGUCUCUGAGCAUUGAGUCUGGAGAUCCUACACUCCUUUUGCUGCCUAGACGUUUGCUGCCGGCCCAUGCAGCACUGAAAGAGAACAAGAAAGCAAAGCAAAAGGCAGAGCCUCUUAGCCAUUGUAACACUAAUACUACUGAUAUGUAAGACUAGCGAAGCUGUUGUGGAGAAGCGGCGACUGGGAAUGGUGGGUAUAAAUAGUAGAGGAAGUGUGCUUAGAGCUUGACACGCAGGUGAUAGUUGGAGAAGCAGGCUUCAAACACUCUUCAAUUUGCAUGGCUACUAUACCCUGUUUACUUACACGUAAUCCAUUCAAAUAGAGCAUGCAGGUAGGCCUUUUGCUUUUACAGAAGGAUACAAGUAGAGGAUUUGUUUGUACACGAGACCCUUUUGGGGGGUUUUCAGGGUGGGCCACCAACCCAAACAGACACAAUUAAUGAUGGGGAGGGGUUGGAAGCAAGAUGACAAGAAAGAUAUUGUGGGUGUAGAUUCAGCCCACAGUUUUGUGGAGCCUGUGGGCGGCUUUGUUUGUUAAAAAUCUCCGCCCCAGAUCAGUAGUACCAUGACCAUCUACUUGUUAAUUUUUUCAAAAAAUUCUUUAGAUAACAAAUUACUUUAAUAUGAUAAGCAUCUAUGCAUGGUGAUUUAAGAAAGACCUCCAUAAAAUUCAGUUAGGAAGCAUAGAUAGAACCUUUACCAUGAUUCAUCGGCCUCUUAAAAGGACUUAUAUUAGGAGCAAUUAAGCUACUUUUUAACAAUGCAAAAAACUUUUUAUUGAAUUUCUAGUGUAAAUAUCCGUAGUUCUAUGAAAAGAAUUGAAGGGUUGCAUGAAUGUAAUGUACAUGUGGGGAAAUUAUUGGAAGGGUAAAGUAUUAGAAGUAAGUAGUUAUUAGAGAUGUUGAACAAGAGGAUUGAAGAAUUAAAACCAGGAGAAGGAAAAUCCUGAGUAACGACAAUAUGAAAAUUCUCUUACAGAUAGUCAUAUUAACCCUCUUUCUCUGCCGUAUGCAAGAGAUUUCUCAUAUUAAUUGCAAGUUUUUCAUGACAAUAUGAAAAAUUUUAUCCAUAUAUAGAGUAGUCAACUUGAAAUUUUCAUCUACGUAUAGAGUCUUCAAGUUCUCUUACAAAUUUUCAGUUAUGCCUAUGAACAACGCUGAUUUGUUGCUCAUAUGAUGUAUGUCUUAUUCUUCCUUGUAACGUCUAGUCAUUAAUCUUGCUUUAUUUCUUUAUACUUUUUUUUUUAAGUUUUCAUUGUCUUAUCGACAUAUAUUAUUCUAUUUACUUUUUUUCUUUCUUCCUUUUUUUCUUUUGAAAGAAAUCUAUGUUCUCAUGUGUUAUUUAUCCUUGUUAGGAAUGAUAAUGAGGUGUGUUUUUUUUUUCUCUUUUGAAUACUAAUCCUGUCCGAUCCCUAUUAAUGAGACAAAUUUAAAAUUAAAAUAAAUAGAUUAAGAGUGAAUUUGAGAUUUUCUUUCAAACUUGAAAUGGGCUCGAACAUUACUUUCCCCCUCCUAUUAUAUAUAAAAUUAAUUUUUUAAAAAUAAAUUAAUUUAAUUUUUUAUUUUCCCAUUUUAGUACACAUAAAACAAAAAAUAAUAAUUUUCAAUUAAAUAAGUUAUAAAAAAUUAUAGUAUUUUAAUUAUUUAUAAAAUAUGUUUUUUUAAUGCAUUAUUAUUAUUUUUUUAUGUAAAAAAAAGUUUUCAAUUGUUUUUUUUUUUUAAAUAAAUAAAUGGAAUGUGAUAAAACGAGUAUGAGAAAUUUACAUACUCAACCCAUCAUACCUUAUUUAAUUUUUUUAGAUGAUGAGAAUUAUUUUGAAUAAAUGAGAUUAGGUAAGGAUGGUGCAACCCUUCUUGAAUGUCCUAUUAUAAUUCAUAAUCCUUGUUACUUUUAUUUGCUCAUCCACAACAUUUUUUCAUUUUUUAAAUCUUGAAUUGCUUCUUCAAAACCUAUUGAUUCGUAAUUUAUGUAUAUAUAAAGCAAGGAUAAGGAAUAUCAUAAUUACCUUUUUUGGGCACUUCAAUCUCAUGUUUCUUCUUCAUUAAAACUAAUAUAUCAAUUAAUAAUAAUAUUUCUAUUGAUUGGAUUGUAUAAUUUGUGGCUUUUGAAGCUUUAGUUAUAACCAAUCAAAACAUAUUUUCUACUCUUAUCUCUUAUCAUCUAACUUUGAUUGCUUUUGAUUCGGCACAUGAACAUAUAUAAUACUUCUAAACAUUAUUAAAUGUAAAAUACCCAACUUGCUUCCAUUCCAAACUUAUUAUGAUGUUUUAUUUCAUAUACUUUGAUUAGGAGAAUGAUUUGAUAAAUAAAAAUUAAUUGUUUCAACCCAAAAUAUUCUAAGCAUCUUCCUACUUUUCAACAUACUUCAUGUCAUGUCAAGAAUUGCCCUAUUUUUUCUUUCAACUAUAUCAUUUUGUUAUAGAUAAUAUAGAAAUAUUAAAACUGACAAAUCUCAAGAUUUUUACAAUAUUAUUGAAAUACUUUUUAUGUAAAUUUGUCUCUUCUAUCGGAUCUUGUUUCCUUUGUAUUAUAGUCACUUUCUUUUUCAAUAGGCGAUCUAAAUUUCUUAAAAGGACAAAAUACUUCAUAAUUUUCUUUAAAAAAAACAUUCAUGUUUUUCUACUAAAAUCAUCAGUAAAAAGCAAAUAAAAUAUGAGCUCUAAGGAUUUCUUUGCUAUUGUAAUUUAUUCAUUUGGAAAACUUUUUCUCACAUGUUUUUCAACAUAAUUGAUUCAAUUGCUUUAUAGAAAGUAAUCCUUUUUAGAAUUUUCUUCUUGCUCAACAACUUUAAUCCUCCAAAAUUAGGACGAUCAAAGCUUAAGUGUCAAAUUUAAGAGGAAUUAUUGAUACAAGAUUUUAGACAUUUCAUUGCAUCAUUUUGAAUACUCAACAAAAACAUUCUAUUUCUUGUUAUGGACACAUUAGCAAUUAAAUUGGCAUGUUAAUAUUUUUUUUUUGAUCAGAAACGAAAAAGAUUAUAUUAAUAAAAGAACAAAUACAGAAGAGAAAAAAGAAACAAAAGAAAGAGAAAAAAACCAAGGGAAGGAUGAGAGGUCCUUCCUACACAAGAACCAAGGAAAACACCCAACAAUAGAAAUCUAAAAACAAAAGAAAACACAACAAACUUCAAACUCUUGAAACGCAAACCCCAAUCCAAUUGAUUUGUAGAAUGCUUAAAGGAACUCCUCUAAAAGCAUGUCAAUAUUUUAUUAAGAGACUUUGAUUUUUAAUAUGAAUAUUAUAGUCUUUUUUUCUAGGCACAUAGUAGAUAUUCGAGAUAGAUUGAUGUCUUCUACUUUUCAAACAAAUUAACAUUGUACCUUUACCUUUUAUUGAAAUUUUAGAUGCAAGUGACCACUUUUUGAUUUAUCAAACUUCAUAAACAUACUUUUGAAUCCACACAUAUGAUUGAUUGUCCUGGUCUUAAGAUAACAUGUAUUUUUCUCCUUAUUUUCUCUUUUAUUGCAAACAAUAAAGUAGGUUUUUCUUUAUCUUUCCUUUAACAUAGUUGGUUUGUCUUUUUAUAUUGCUAGUGACACAUUUAUAUUCAUAAACAUAAUAUUUUUUAUAAUUUUAACAUUGAAUUCGAGAUUUAUAUUAUAUUUUCCCCUUGGCCUUGCGUUGAUCCAUCUUCCACAUCCUCUUGAGAAAUACGAGUUUUAGCUUGUUCCUUCAUUGUUUAAUUAAUUAAAACCACUUUUCUCGAUCAUUAUUCGUUGCUAUCUCCAUAGAUUAUUUUGACUUCUUUCCUUCUUAAAUUUUUUUUAUAUUCUCUUUUAAUGUAGGCUUCGUUUGAAAAACUUGUUCUAAUUUUUUCUUGUUUCUUCUUUUUUAAUCUCUUCAUGAACUUGCAAUGAUCCUAUAAUUUGAUUAAUAGUCAUAAAAUCUAAAUUUUUAGAUUUUUCAAUAGUCAUAACAAUAUAAUCAAAUUUCAAAUUUAAAAGUUAAAAUAUUUUUUUCAAUCACACAAGUAUCAUUUAAACUUUUAGUAAAUUCACAAUAGCCAAUACUUAAAAUAAACAAAUAAAUAAUUGGAUAUUGUUUUUAAUUCUUUCAUAUUCAAACUUUUAAAUUCUUCUCUAAAAGUUUGAAGACACUUUUUAUACUCUAUCAACUUCAUUGUAUAUAUUUUGUAAUAUCUCCUAAGUUUCCUUGGUAAUGUUUGUAUUUAAAAUUCUCAAAAGUACCUUUAUCCAUUGUUUGAAACACACGAUGGAAAAACCUUUUUUUGUCUCUUUUCCUUAUAUAUUCCAAAAAAUCUCUUCAAUUCGAGGACAUAAUAGUUUUAUCUUUCGACUGUUUAUAGCCUUUUUCUAUAGCUCUCAUGUUGUAGCCUUUUUCUAUAACUUUUCAUGUCUGCUUCUUGUAAAUCAAGAAAAACAUUCAUCUUGAUCCUCCAAUUAUAAUAAUUGUCUUUAUUGAAUUAUGAGACUUUAAAUAGAAAUAUACUACUUGCCAUUUUUUCAUAUGGUAAUAGGAUUAAAAGAAAUACACAAAUAAUUGUAUAAAGAAAGAUAUAUAAUGAAAAGAAAAAGAAAAAUUAUCGUCUUCCAUGACUCUUAUUCAAGUAUUACAUAAUUUUUUAUUCAUACACACUCACAUUUAAUAAAAUAAAAACUCUUAAUAACAAAAUAUAUAAACUUUUUAAGACUUAACCACUUAAAUAUACGGAUGUUUGAUAAGUCAACUUACUGAUUUAAUAAAACUUAAUGUCUAAAUUUAAGUUUUCAAGCAUAUUAAGUAUGUGUAAAGCAACUUAAUAUUGUAACUUAAAACUAAAAAUGACUUUGCUAAAUCAACUUAAUAACUUAAUAUCACUUAAUAACUUAAGCAUAAGUAAACUUAAAGUCACAAGCCUCAAAUAUUAGGUUUUACCAAAUACCUAUGAAUCAUCCCUCAAAAUAAAAAAUUGUCUCUAACUUUUGGCUUCUGAAUCAAGCAGAUCGAAUGUUAAACAUAAUGAAUAGUGAAAGUUACACAAAAGAAAAAAGGAAAUGCAUAUAUUUGUGAAGGAAAAGAAGCAAUCACUUGAAAUAGACAUACAUGGGAACAGUGGGUUUGCUUCUAAAUCUAUAGAGAACCCUCUUCCUCUUGUAGGUACCAUUCUCAAUGGUUAUUACUAUCUUUCCUGGUUCACUAAUGUAAAAUGAAUUUCUCAUACUUUGUCCCAUUUUCUUAUCCUUUUCAAGCAAAAUUUUGUAUGAUCCUUCAUCUUCUGGGAUAAACUCCUCCUUGUAGUUCACGUCCCACCCCACUAUAGUCAUGUCCCAGACAACCGUCACCCCAGCCUAUAAUCAUCUCAAAACAAGAACCAAAUUAAGAAUAUUAGUACCAUGAGUGUUUAUAAAUGAAGUAAAACAUUCAGCUUUUAAAUUUAGGACAUUAGUUAAUGUUUUGAAAGUACCUCAGUGGCUGGAAUUUCGAUGCUUUCAAUGGUACCUGCUUUGACAAUUAGCUCUAGAGCUUUGUCAGCAGGUGAAAAUUCAAUGUCGUUCUCUCUUUUGAGGCCACCAUAUUGAACGGGAAGGUUUUCUGGGGCGAUAAACCUUUGGGUUUUGAAGCAAAUUUUGAUCAAAUUGGAGGGUUUAAUGAAUUAAUCAACAGAACUCAGAUAAUGAAACUACAGUAAGUAUUCUCACUUGAGAAGUGUGUCUGCAACUCCAGAUGGUCUCGCCAAGAUGAACUUGCUCUUUGUUCUUUGGCUUAUGAAUUUGGAAAUUAGCGUAUGGCUAGCAUAAUACCAAAAUGGAACAUUUAUGACGAUCUACAGGCAUAAUAUAUCAAAGUUUUUCAGUACUAAUUCAUGAUCAUCAUGGCGAGUUAGUCAUAAUUAUACGCUUACAUGUCUGAAGAUGAGCUCAGGAUAAUUGUCUUGAAGCAACGUUAUGGCUUUCUUGGUAACCAAACGAAGCUCCUUGUUGCUUGGUCGCGGGGAGUUCUUCAAGUCUAGGAUCUGAACCAUGGAGUCCACUCCACCAGCCGUGAAGUUAAGAUUCUGGAUAACCUUUUCCAUGGACUGAACCCUCCACCUCAAGAACUCUUCACAUUUGGCUUCUGAACCAAAUGUUUUCUUGUAAAAGUCUCUGUCCUUGAAAGCCCCACACACAUUGUAACACAAAGGGUGACCUUCUUUAUCAGUGCUGUUUAUGUACACAACAUUUUCAAGCUCAGGGCCGAAGUUUUCUUCGAGAAUUCCUUCGGUUUUGAACUCCCUCCGCCAUAUCAAGGUUCUUCGGAGCAUGUUGAAGGCCUCGCUGACCUUAAAAUCUCUAGCUUUCAAGAACUUCAAGAGGAUAAUGUCCGUGCCUUCGUGGCCUUUACUAGGAAGUAAGGGCACACCCCAGAGGGAGAUAUCAUGAAGAUUUUCUUGAGUUUUCUUGCUUUCAGGGACUUUUCCACGGGGUUUUCCGAGCAUAUAAUUCCCAAUAAUAGCAUCUUCCACUCUGCAUCGGAGCUCUAACAAGGCUUUCUUCUUCGACUUUUUCAUUUGGAUGGAGGCCUUGUACUCCUGUUCAGGGCUCAUGGGUUUCUUCAUUUCAGUAUGGGAAUUGCUUUCAUCAUCUGGGUUCAUGGAUUCAGCAUCUUCUAGAUGAAUUUCUUGGUGUUUAUGGGUGUUUUCAUUCUCAUUUGUCUCGUCAGAGAUCUGGCUGCACUCUGCCAUAUUGGGGCUCUUUCCGGUGAGAAUUCCGGCUUCCAAAGGGAGGUGUUGCCGGAAACCUGAUGCCUGGAGAAAGUUUAGGGGUUCUAUGAUUUAUUUAGAGACUGAGCGUGUGGAAGGAGAGGAGGAGAGAAUUGGGUAAAAAGGAGCUUGGUUGGGGGAUGUAGCUAAGAUUGAGAUUUGAAAUAGUGACCGUUAGUUGAUAGCCAAAUAAGGGGUUUUGAUGAGGUGUUACCAACAAACUGUUGGACAAGAAAGAAAAAUUUGUGGUUGCAAGGGGUUGGAUUAAAAGGUGAAAGUUCAUCCAAACCAACCCUUUUCCUUGAGAUAAUCCCACCGACCGCCUCCCUUAGGGAGAGUUAAAGAUAGAUUACAAGACUAACGGAUAAACUACUCAAAAUUCAAAUUUUGAAAUAAUAUUUUAAUUUAAUAUUUAUGUCAAUCAUCCUCUUGAGGAAAGAAAAAGAAAAUGGGUGGUUAAACAAGAAAUAAAAUAAAAUAAAUUCUCUUAGAUAAAUGGCCCAUUAAUAAGAAAUUGAAAUUAGAAAAAAAAACCAUUUCAUAUCUCAUUUAUUACAUGUUUGAAUUACUAGUUAGUAAUACAACAAAGAAUAGGAAAUUCAUUUUUAUGAUGGUAUUGUAGCUCACCUUUUGUUCCCUUCCUAUUUCUGCCUUUGAAUUGGAAUAGAAAAUCAACAGAGUGAAGGCAUCCUUGGACGUAUUUGGCAUUGAGGGUUCAAGCCUCAAUCCCUCACCAAUACCCACCUUUAAGAAAUGUGUAUAUGGCAUAUACCACCAACCAUCAUAGCAUUUUGACAGACAGUUGAGGCAUGAUCAUGGGGCUACAAUAAUGUUCAUUUUAAUGGUGAAGUGCAUCAAAUCUUACCAGCUCAGUUCGGCCAUUAUCAUUCAUUUUAGGAGUUGAUGAUUAGAGAGUGAACCCACUAUGAUUCUCUAGAGUAUGACUUGAGGUUUCCAGCAUCAUCCCUAUCACACAAAUCUGUAGGCUCCACAGAGAAAGGCAUAAAAUGCAAGUUUGAUUAUUGCACUAUUGUAUUGCAUAUUGAGAGGAUGGUGAGGUAGAAUUAGUUCGUAGAGGUAGAAUCAGUUCAAUACAAAUAAAUCUAACUUGUAUUGCAAGAGAAACAGUAUCCACUGCCCUACUGCUAUAAGGAUUAUCUACUCAUAUUUACAGUAAAGCAAUGUUAAGGGUACAAGCAUCCUACCUAUUAACAUGACAAAUAGUUUUAACCUGAAGCCCAGCCUCCAGCGAGGAGGCGUUCAUGCUUCUCUAUAAUUGGUCAGGUCAAAUGUCAGAGUUCUCGAGCAGCUGCAAUUAAAUAUAGGUAUUAGCAUUGUCUCUGCUUAGCAGGUUAAUUUGGUGGACAUACUGGAAAACAACCCAGAAAGUAGCACCAAAAUGAAAACGCAUUAACUAAAUAUAAUAUCAUGAAGAAACUUACCCCCUAUCAGAGUCCCUGUAAACCCCAACCAGAGCUUCAGCCUUGUCAUAAAAGCUAUCCUUCAGUGAUAUCACGAUACUCUGAAAACCACUGCCUCCCUCACCAUCCUGAUUACCCCUUGCUCCUUCACAUGAUUUUGAUCGGAUGAAUCCAGCAACCUUAGCAACAUUCAGAUUGUCCAAUGCAGCAUCGACUUCAUCCAAUAUAAAAAAAGGAGAAGGCCUAUAACUGAAACCACCCAUGGAUAAAAAUAAUAAUCCUAUUAGCCAGUUAUUCAACUUUUGCAGAUCAAAAGAGCAAUCUUUUUUUGAAGGCAAAAGGAAAUAUAAAUUAAUAGCGUCUAAGCAAAAGGCUCAUAAAGCACACAAAUGUAUACAUUUGUCACCAAAACAGGCAAGCAAGAGGGGAGAGAAAAAAACAAAAAACAAACCCCCUCUACUUUGAGCUAAGUUAAUCUACAAAGUCUACCAUAGUCAAAAGAGCAAUCUUGUUCACUCCUCACAUAAAUAUGCCAGCUUUUUCCUCCAAAAUUUUAUGCCACCAUUAAAAUUAUCUUCACGAGCAAAUAAACUUGUUCAAGUAAGCAACUUAAGUGUAUGCCUAAAGAGCAAUCUUUUUUACUCCUCACAUAAAUAUGCCAGCUUUUUCCUCCAAAAUUUUAUGCCACCAUUAAAAUAAUCUUCGCAAGCAAAUAAACUUAUUCAAGUAAACUUAAAUGUAAGCCUUUUAUGAUGCUCAUAACAGCAAAAACACAUUUGAGAGAAUUAGCAAGUAAAGGGAAGUUAGAAAAGGUGUUAGAUUGAAUUGAGUGAGUUAAUGAUUAUAGGUCCAAAUCUAACCCCACUAGGUUAUUAAACAUGUUUUAGAUAACCCUCACCCAGACCCAAGGACAUGGAUGGCAGCUUCUAAGAAUUCUUCACAGAAAUUCCCAGCCUUCUUUAGAAAUUAAACAAAAUAUUUCAAGACAUGUUAUUCCUGCAUCCAGAGUAAGGUUUGUCCAAAACAUACAGAAAAAAUGUUUCUUGUAUUCCUUGACAUACCUAUGGAUAGAGAAGAGCAAUGCAAGUGCUGCAACAGUUUUCUCACCACCAGACAGCUGUUCCAUAUCACGGAAGCGCUUUGUUGGGGGCAUAGCAGUGUACUUGAUGCCAUGUAAGAAAGGAUCAUCCUCAUUUUCUAAGUUCAAAUAUGCCGUUCCGCCCAAUGGGUGUGUGUUGCUUUUUGUUAGCUGUUUGUAGAUCUUAUCAAUAUUACCAGAAAUAUGACUAAAUGCUUCCAUAAAGAGUUCAUACCUGUAUUCACCACAAAUAAAUUCAGCAGUUUCAUUGUUCAGAAACCAUAUAACACACAUGCACAAAGAUGCAAGACAAUGAAUGUCAGAUUUCAAGGAUGAUUUGUUAAACAGGUAAAAAUGAUUGCCUUCACAUGUAUUGAACACAUUAGUCUGUUUGAAUGGAAUAAUAAUAAACAUGUAAAGACUAAAUCUUGAACUAUUGAGAAGCUAAUAACCCAACUAUAAGGUUUUUUCCUCACCAAUCUACAUAUUUUUCCAGCUUGACAUGCUAGAAUUGGAAGAUUCACUUGACAAAUAAUUUUUUACAAGAAAUUUUUAUCAAUCAUUUCAUGUAUAUCUUGCUUUUGUCUUAACAGUUUUAAGAAAUAACAAGAUGCAUUCCCACUUUGUUUGUUAUUCACUAAGGGCGUGUUUUGAAUGAUGGAAUAGAUGAUGGAAUGAAACAUCCAUUCCAUUCUCAUUCAUCACUAUGGAUUAUCUAUUAGAAAUGGCACAUGGUAUUAUGAUUCACCUGCAUCCUGUUCUAAUUUGCAUUCCUAUUCCCAUAUACAAAAUGCAUCCUAAAGGGUUUUCUGCCAAACAAUAAUCAGUACCUUCUCUGCUUAACGGAAUUGUACUUAUCAGUUAUUUCCUUCUCUUCCUUUCUGGCUACUUCAAACUCUUCAGUUACAUGUCUUUCCUUCUCUUGCAAAGCCUCAUACUGGUCCAAGGCCUUCAAAUUUGGAGCUGUUCUUUCUAUUUCUGAUAUUAGGGCAUCCAUUUUUUGCUUAAAUUCCACUUCAACCUUCUCUCUUUCAGAAGGUCUCAUAUCUACCUGAUGAGAUCUAUUUAGCUGACUAAAAUCAAAAACUGGACUUGGCAUUGAGGAUCCGAUUUCCAUUGCGUCUGAGACAGUAGGUAGGAUUAUAUGCUCUACUUCACACUUCUCCAAGAUCUCCUGCUUCUGCAAUUUCAGUUGUUCACCCUGUGUUUCCUGUAGGUAACAUGAACAAGCAUAGCCACAUUAUAGUUCAUCAAUGCAGCAAUGACUAGUUCAUAAGAAUCUUGUGGUAAAAAUAACAUUUAAUUCUGGAGAACAACCUUCAAACUUAUCUGACGAUUAAGUUUGCUUAUGCUUCCUGCAGCAGUAGAAGCCCGCUUCUUCCACUUCUGGAUUUCCUUCUCACACUCUUCGGACUUGGACUUCCACUCUAUACAAAUAGAAAGAGGAGAAAAAAGUUCCACAAAGAUGGCAUCAAAUUAUUUAUAUUAUGAAAAGAAAAAAUAUUAAGGAAAAAUUAACAAUGGAUCAGUUGCAUAGUGCUUUGCUACACUAUGUUAUAGAUGCAUAUUUUCAUAUUUCAGGUACAAUUCAGUAAUACUAAUGAUAACCUUUUUUUUUUAGUGAGAAUACUCAUGAUAACUUUUCCAAGAUAAUCUUUUCUGUAUCAGAGCAUAAAUUUCAAUAUGGCCUCAGAAAGGUCAACACGACCAGGCAAUGCCAGGUACCUAGCUACAAGCAUAUUUUCAGCACAAAAUACAAGCUAAGAGUUGUUGACUCUCCAACUCCUUGAGUAGGGUCUCACAUAGCUUAUUUUUUCUACUGUCACAAAUAUGGUGCUCAAUUAAUAGUAAAGAAGAAUAAUCAUGUACCUAGAUAAGAGCAUACUUACGGCACAAAAUACAAGCUAAGAGUUAUUGACUCUUCAACUCCUUAGAGUAGGGUCUCAUAUAGCUUUUUUUUUUUUCUACUGUCUCAAAUAUGGUGCUUGAUCAAUAGAAAAGAAGAAUAAUCAUUUCUUCAUGAUUCGUGGCAAUCCUACCCAGAUCAAUCUUGCCCAGAAGUUGAACAGGAUAGCCACAAUUAAGCUUUACAUGCCUCUGGGAAAGGCUUCCAAAACACAGAACAAUGCACACAUCUAUGAGAAGAAGCUGCACACCAAUCCCUAUAAAUAGGACCCAAGGACCAACCUCCAAAACUUGAAACACUAACAUCCAAAGAGAAGCCAAAAGGUUCAUCCUAUAACACAAAAGUCCCCUCAAGACAUCGUCUAAUGGCAAUCCCUCAUUAUCAAGCUGAAAUUGGAUGAGAUCGCCUAACUAACACACAGAGCUUGCACCAGAGAGCUUAACAACCUCAGCCCCACAGCAAGGAAAAUUGAGUAAUGAAGGAAACAACAUUCCACUAUCUCUUCUAUAUUAUAUAUAUAUAUGUAUGUAUGUAUGUAUGUAACUGAAGAAAAGACCAAGGCAACCACAAAUCUUCCGUAAACCUAAUCCAGAACCCAUCUGCCAAUAGAAAUUUGGUAUGAGAAAGGAAAGAUAACACAUCUAGAGAAAUGAACCUCUUGAGGACUGCACUAAUUCUCUCUAUCCACCACCAUAGCAUCCCACCCAUCCUCUUGAAGGCCAUACUUGCUUUUGACUAGUUACUACUGUAAGGAGUUUGGUUCAAUAGAAAAUCUCCCCAACAAGUUUGAAGUCAUGGUGAUAUUCCUAUGAAUCAAAUCAUCAAGACUAAAAUCACCUUUUAUUCUUGGGACAGGAAACCACCUUCCAACAAAUGAAAUGAUCCUUUCAAUCCUCACUAUGCCCUGCCAAUGAAAACUCUCUAAAUCUCUCAAUUUUCUAGGUCAUUUCAUCGGCAUCUUGAGUAAGGGCAUGCAAGCAAUCGUAAUUGCAACACGAGUGAACAAAAGUGGAUUGCCCCCUUUAGAAAUAAAAUUCUUUUUUUCCAAAUAAAAAACUAUAUCACAUUGGCAAAGGAAUCCAAUUAAAUCAAUAACAAGUUAUAAAAUAUAUAAUAUACACCACAAGUGGAUACCCUAUACUAAUCAUUUUUAAAUUCUUCAAUAGAUUACAUUUUUCCUUCCUUUUAUCUUUUCGAACUGUCUUCCAAAUAUAUGGACGCUAGACCAAUAGACCUAGUUAAAAUCAACCAGUCUGCAACAAUUGAGUAAGGCAAAUCCAUGUCUUAAGAAUUUCAGUUGCAUGGUUAUUUAGUUGUACUACUCGACCUCUUAAAAUAAAUAAUAAAAAGUAAAAUUACAAUUAAAAAGAUAAAACAUAAAAUAAGAUAAAUUGGCACCAUCCCAGAUGCAAAAAUUAGAAAAUAGAAGCAAGAACAGAUAAAAUCAAAUGUAGAACAAAUGAACCAAAUAUAAUUUAUGUUAAAGAAGUAACUCACACACACAUGCUCCAAGAUUUAUUCUCCGAGCAACCAUACAAACUUUGUAUAAGAACAUGAAUUGAAAUUGCACCUUGUACUUCAUCUUUCAAUUGAUCAACAUCACCAGUAGCUUUCUCCAUUGCUAACUUGGCUUCAGCCUCUUUCUUCUGAACCUGUUUCAGAUCAUUUUCUAAAGAACUGAUAGAAGAUUCCAGCUUUGUAAUUCGUGAGUCCAUGUCCCUCCUUUGCUCAUACUCCAACCUGGCAGAAAAGGGAAAAAUAAAGGUCCAAAAUCAUAUAAAUCUGGGACUCAGGCAAACGAAUAGUUGUUUACAACUCUGCUAUACAGAAAAAUAAAAAUACAAAAAUCAUAGGUUGAAAACAUUGGAAUCCAACAUAAAGACUCCUUUUGAAACUUUCAGAGAUACAUGAUACUCUGAAACUGACCAAAGAAAUGCAACCAAGAAAGAUAACAAAUUAAACUUAAAGUUUCAAGAACAAAGAGAUUGGAGAAAUCAACAAAUGUUGCGGCAGUAAAGUUUCUCUUAUGGAAGUUUUAUGUUAAAGGAAUCUUGACAACAGCAUUACAGCUCCUGCUUCUAACUAGAGACUACUGAUCAUACGGUUUACACUUUUGUACUGAGAGUAAUGAAAAAAAACACAAUAACACACUGAUAUUACUACAAAUAUAGCAGAAGAACUGAUUUAAAG
This 20237-nucleotide long non-coding RNA is filed under the name Vitis vinifera (wine grape). RNAcentral's name for it is "long non-coding RNA (VVIN_LNC002102)". The record is from RNAcentral. Lineage: Eukaryota; Viridiplantae; Streptophyta; Magnoliopsida; Vitales; Vitaceae.